CGAGCAGCGUACUAAGAGCUUGGAAUGUACAAUUCGACAACAGAUAGAGGCCGUCCCUGCCCAAUAACGGUUUAAAAGGGGGAGACAGACAGCAAAACCAAACAAGUAGACAGGCAUCAAUUUAAAAGAGGGAUCGCAUUUCGGUCGUAAUGGCGUGUGUCUGAGGUACUGUGGGUUAAGCAUUUCGCGCCCGGGGCGCUCGAAUGGCUCCUUCUUUGGUGUCAUCCACUUACUUCUACUGAAGUUGGGCGGUUUAGGACAGGAGAGGGAGAGAAAGGUAGUGCGCGUGCGCCGUAGAGCCCCGAAGGCUCAGGUUGGGAAAAGCCCAAGGCCCCUGGUGGGUGACGUCACAACGAGGGUCCCGGGAGCGCUGUGCAUCCUGGGAAAUGGCCUGCCAAUCUUCUCCUUACUAGGAUUUUAGGGGCUCUGCUGAGGAGGGCGGCCGUUGCCCCUCAGGCUUGAUGUGACCCCCCGCCCCAUAGUCAAUGGCCUCUGAGUUUGGCCAUUUUGUGUCGUAGCAGGCCUAUGUGUACAGUGCCCGACUUGUCAUGGCGUCCUCCCCGAGGGGAGUAGGGUGUUCAUACUUAUCUGGCAGGGGAAAUUGUGCGGUCAUGCAGGUGCUUUUCCCAGGUUGAGGCUCAGUUACUGCGUUCUGGCUUUGCUGACCCCUGCGAUUUCCUCAAAUGCGAGGAACUCGACUGCAUAAUUUCUGGUGGGGGCGGACUGCGUUCGUGCUCUCCCUGGAAGUGCUGGCUCUAAAGAGAGAACAGUGUUGCAAGUAUGAAUUCCGUGCUUUUUUGGUUUUUUUUUUUCUUUUAACCAGAGGGGAGGUGAGUAGGGAGAGGUCUAAGCCGAAGCGUCAGACAGAGUCGCCCAGCGUGUGCCGGGCAGCAGCGGUAUGGGAAAGAGGCAAAGGUCAUGUGAUCAAACCAUCGAUCAAAGACACCAGCAGAGACUCGAGUUUUUACUGCGUAGAAGGCGGCAGUGGUAAAGAUAGGCACUUCCCUAUCUUUACCAAGAAAACUCGACGGAUACAGACAUUCCAGAAUGACCCCGGGACAGAAGAUGGGACGUUCUGAAGAGUGGAAUCGCCAUGGGUCAGAAGCAACGUCAUUUGAGGAAGAAGAAGAAGAUGAUGAGCCUCUUAUAAGGCUUUUCGUAUCUCUCCCCUGCCCUCUCGGCCCCCUCCCUUCCGCCCCGCCCCCCGGUCACAAUUGCCCUUGUUCUCGCUGUGUUACUUUUAACUACUACCUCCACUCGCAACUACUCACCCCGCCCAUGUUGCUUGGUUAUCUACUCCUCUCCCCAGGAGUUCCCUCUCCCCUGUCCCCCAUAGCUCCCACCCUUCCCCAAAUCGGCCAUCCACAGGGUCACGAGCCUCUGGACUCUCCUUGCCGCUAGCCUUUUGAUUUUGAUCUGAUCGACCCACGGACGAGUCAACAUUCGACCCUGGGCAUCACCCGCUUAUUAAUAAUAUUAUAUCAUAUUAUAUUAUUCCUACC
This 1502-nucleotide long non-coding RNA is filed under the name Ornithorhynchus anatinus (platypus). RNAcentral's name for it is "lncRNA (ENSOANG00000048223.1)". The stretch from base 581 to 744 matches the Rfam family "U1 spliceosomal RNA". Lineage: Eukaryota; Metazoa; Chordata; Mammalia; Monotremata; Ornithorhynchidae. The record is from RNAcentral.